Molecule: long non-coding RNA, 1428 nt
Organism: Meriones unguiculatus (Mongolian gerbil)
Lineage: Eukaryota; Metazoa; Chordata; Mammalia; Rodentia; Muridae
Exons: 8
Source: RefSeq, a predicted model, not a curated record
UGGCGGGUUAAACGCAGUUCUUGAGGCUGGAGGACAGGGAAGUACGGAGAACCAGUCUGAGGGGCGGUCUUCAGCCCUCAGUGAGUUCCAUGGCAACUGCAGCCUUGGAAACUCGAGAGGUGUGGGGGCAGAGGAGCCGGCCGGGCUAGAGGAACUGAAACUCUGAGUUCCAUGACCACUUGUCAUCCCCAAAUUCAAGAGGCUGAGGCAGGAGAAGCAGAAGUUCAAGGUCACCUUUAGCUAGCUACAAAGCAAGUUCUAGACCGGCUGGGAUAGAUGUGACCGUGUCUUACGAAGGAGAGACAGAAGGAGAACAGGACAGAAAUGCCUAGAAGAGCAUGGUGGUUAGUGUCCGCCACCUUCACCCCCCGGCCCGUUCUUGCCACAGCCACUUUUCCCGGCUCUCCUCUUGUAACAGCUGCUGAGUUGGUGCUGCCCGCUGGAGUGUCGACUUGACCUGGUGUAGAUCCUCUGCAGGAAGUCCCGGCUGCGAUGCUGCUCAUUGCUCAGACGCAAGCUGGGGUACACCGUAGCUGGGUCUGGGAAGAUGCAAGACACCUGUGUCCCUCCUGCAAGAGCCGUUAACCCCUCUCAGUCUCAGCGUGAUGUAGACGACCCUUCUGCCCCAGCUGCUGACUUCAAAGGCAGAAUGGAGAGGUGAGGAAAAGGAAACACAAAUGAAGCAGCAACAGUUGAAGGCAGAGACCCACAAUUUGCUCAGCUCCAGCCUGCGACGCGUCUGGCUGACAAUUAAAGGCCCACCUACGUGGGGACUGGCGAGAGAAACCAGCCAUCUCCUGCCAGAGAAAAGCAUUCCGGAACCUGACAUCUGGGUCUUGCAGCUGGAAGGAGGGAGGAAACCACAGAGCACCAGCCCCUCGUGUCAUCAAAGGCGGUUGAUGGUGCCAACUGUUGUGUGAUUCUUCCUGGGCAAAUGCAGAUAAAUGUCUGCUCACUCCAGAUGGGGCAUCCAGCAGCAGACCAAACAAUUUCAGUCAAGUCCAGUGCUGUGCACCAGUGAAUUUCUGGGGUUAGGGUUAGGAGCGAGGGUGGCUGAAGGCAGCAGGCUCAUCCCAGGAUGAGUAACAAGGCACCAAGCUGCAACCCCAGAGCACCUACCAGCUGAAGGAUCUUGGAACGUUCUGAGUUUCCAGCACAUGACUGUUGGGACCUUUCUCCUCCCAGAGGGGGCGUUACAGCUGGGGGAAAGGCUACACAGCACCAGGUCAUCCUCACGGCUUCCAAGAUGCUGUUCGCCCCAGCCAUUUAUACUGUGAGCAAGGAGGGAUUCUGACGCUAUGAGCUCAGUCACGUCUUGGGUUUAGUACAGUUUGGUCCAGCAAAUGUGGCAUUCCUUGUAUGAGUCUGACACUGAGGCAUACACCGAGGAGAGACACGAGUAAGGCAAAAUGACAGAGUAAAAGCUGA